This 793-nucleotide long non-coding RNA is filed under the name Phascolarctos cinereus (koala). RNAcentral describes it as "lncRNA (ENSPCIG00000021203.2)". The record is from RNAcentral. Lineage: Eukaryota; Metazoa; Chordata; Mammalia; Diprotodontia; Phascolarctidae.
UCGAAAUGGAAAACCCUCGUGGACCAGGCUGAACACUGCCUGGGAAUUUCAAGUGACUCUCUUUCCAAGAAAAACCUACAAAUUUUGGGUAAUUUGUCCUGUGCCCUGAAUGACUCACAAAUUAUAAAAUCUGACCCUUACAUCCUCCAAAUGCUUCAGCACUGUUCAUCAUUCACUGCAUCUCAAGUCACAGCCAUUCAGCAUAGGUUGGAAGACAUCUUUGGGUCUCCAUCAACAUGGACAGCCAGCACCCUGCAGGGGAUGGGUAAUCUUGCCAGCAUCUUAGACAGCAAUAUCCUUCAGAGAGUCCCUGAGACCUCGAAGACACAUUUUUUCCCAAAUUUCUUGAGUUGGCUAAAGAUUCACAACAAGGAACAAUUCAUGUACAGUUUGAAACAACUCAGAGGACCCCAAAGGAACAAACGGGACACAACUUGUCCUGGAGUGCCACUAACAGCAGAUAGAGUAAAGAAGGAGAGAGACAUGGUAGCCGCCCGAUACACUUCUACUAGUGAGCUGGAAGCCUGCUUGCCGGACAGCGUCCUAAAAAACCACUUGGAGCUCUUUGGGAGCAUGGAGUUUGAGGAUCCUCUGCUCCAGGUUCUGAAAAUGAAACUGGAUAAGGUAGAGUUCAGCUGGUGAGGGAAGAGGGAGAGGGAAGUCAUGGGAGAGACAAAACUGAGCCCUCCACCUAUGAGAUCAGCAAGCCUGACUGCCUAAGCAAAGGCAGGCAGGUGGGAGUGGAAGGUCACCAUGUAUAUUUAGUCCUAGUAAGACGAUUCGCAAAUCCAAA